Molecule: non-coding RNA, 80 nt
Filed under: Bacillus mycoides
Lineage: Bacteria; Bacillati; Bacillota; Bacilli; Caryophanales; Bacillaceae
Description: c-di-GMP sequence
Rfam family: c-di-GMP-I riboswitch aptamer
About the family: GEMM was predicted in a large-scale screen for bacterial structured RNA regulatory elements. Genes associated with GEMM are involved in a diverse array of functions, including chemotaxis regulation, signal transduction, secretion and chitin.
Source: RNAcentral
GCACACUAUUCGAAAGGAUAGGCCGCAAAGCUUAGAGUCUACGGUAAUAUAUUGGUUACUAAGAUCGUCUGGUUGCACAU